Molecule: long non-coding RNA, 551 nt
Organism: Hyla sarda
Lineage: Eukaryota; Metazoa; Chordata; Amphibia; Anura; Hylidae
Exons: 3
Source: RefSeq, a predicted model, not a curated record
UGAGGGGACCUCCAGCAGCCAUCUUUACUUAUCGGACCCCUGCGAUUGCAUUGCGUGUGGUCCGAUGAGUGUCACUAAGCCCUGCAACCACUUUAGAUACUGUGAUCAGCCAAAGGCUGUCCAGGUCUUGCUCCACAUUUGUCUUCUCCCUAGAAGACCAGCAAACCAUACAGGAAUAUCUGAAGACAUCAGAGACAGCGGGCAUGCUAAUCCAGCCCCCUAAACCGGAGUCCCACUUCAGAAAAUGACUGGUCCCCCAGGGUGGAGAUCUAUACUGGAAGAGGACCCCUUUGGCUCAAAAAGUCUAGAGUUACACGACGGUCUUAACCACGUCAAGGCUCGCAUGACCAAAUUUCGUUUCACUCUGCAGUGAUCGUACUAGGACCUACAGGUGGCCACGACUGCGACCCGACAUAUUCAUCAGAGAUAGGUCGGCAUCCCAUUUUAAAAGGUUGCCAAUGUAUAAUGUAAUGUGAACAAAACUUAACACACAUCUAGCCAAAAAAGAAAUAAAUUAAAUGAAUGAAUUAAAUAAAUAAAAUAAUGGUGCU